ACUCUCUCUUUCUCAAAUAAAAUCUUAAAAAAAAAAAAAAAAGGAAUUUCAGGACAGUAACAGCAGAACAUUAAACCAAGUAUGGGGCUCUUUGGAGUGCAGGGCCCUGUGUGACCGCAGAGGUCACACAGCCAUGAAGCAGCCCUGAGCUCCUUCCCAGUGGUGGGUGGGACCGGCAAGGGCCCUGAUCCUGUGGGUUUUACAUUUAAGUGGGUGGAGACAGACAACAACCGAAUAGACAUAUGAUAAUGAUAAUAAUAGUGCUAUAUAUAUAUUAAGUCGUUUAGUAAAUGAACAAGAUAAUUUCAGAUACAGUAAGUGCUAGGGAGAGAUUCCAGGCAGGGUGCUGGGUCCACAGUGGCUGGCGCAGGCGUGGGUCUGGGUGGUCUAGAGGAGGCCUGUGUAUGAGAGAGACCUGGGUCACACAAGGGGCAAGAGUGGCUUCCCGGCAGAGGGACUGCAGAAGCCUUCAGAGCAGCCAACCUUGGGUGGGUUAUUUAAUCUCUCUGAGCUUCAGUUCUUCAUCUUAAAAUGGGAAUUCUAAUGAUAAAGUAACACCUAACUGACUAUUUGCUCUGUGUCAGGCACUGUUCUAAAUGCCUUAUACAAUAGUGACUCAUUGAGUGCUCAUAAUGGCUCUCAGAGCUAAGUGCUGCUGUUAUCCCCAUUUUACAGAGGUGGAGGCUCAGGUACAGAGAGGAUGAGGGCUUGCCAAGGUCACUAGCUGUGGAUGCGGAUUUAAAUCAAAAGUCAGAAGUUUAGAUCAUUUUGAAGAGCUGCUGAUGAGUGGUCCUGCCUCGCCGUUUGUUUUAUGAGACCACUUCCUGCCCUUUCCAGCACGGGCUACAAGGCUCCGUGCAACUGAGAAGAGUGAUGGGACCUGCCAGGGUGCUGCCCAGAGGCCCAGGGCUUCCUGAUGACAUUGCGUCAUGGAAAAGCUGUAAUAACAUUCUGCUCUUCAGCUUCCUCUUCAGUCGCACCGGGGACACCAGAGGGAGGAGGCAGGGCUGGGUGACUCUCCCCGGCUGUCCUUGUCAUCCCUGCUGGGGAGGUCGGGAGCGGGUUGCCCCUCUACAGCACCUGUCUUGAGGACCAAGUGAGAGUUCCUGGGGGGCAGAUGGGACAGCUGAGGUGGGGAGAUGGGAAGCAUGUGUGCCAGCACUCUGGGCUCACACUCACUGUCUGAGGACACGGCCGGGGGUGGGGGGAGGGUCUGCGUCAGAGCCCGCAGCCCUGGCACUGGCAGGCCCCUGCUGCCCCCCAUGCCCCCACUUGCUCUUUAUGUCUCUCCUUCUCCCUCCUUAAAUCAGGUAUCAGUUUGACAUGAGGAUUUUGGAGGUUAUAAUAGAGACUGGCUAGGGUCUCAUCAAACCCAUUUCCUUUUCCAGGCACACAGUUAAAUGACAUCUCAGCCUGCUGGCAUCUGGGGAGGGCCCACGGCUGGUUCUUGCCUCUGGAAUGUGGAUGUGCCUUCUCGGUGCUGUCUAACUUUUAGGGCUCGUGGUUGAUUGAAGGUGGUGGAGUCACAAGAUGGAAGGUCCCUGGGUGACUGUGUGGAGUGGAGGCUCACUCUCUGCUGACCAAUCCUGAUUGUAACGUUAAGCUACUGUUGUUUGGGGUUGUUUUAAUAGCUAGCCCACCCUGACUAAUACCUGUGUGUUUCUCAGUUCAGAAAAGAGAGCUCCCCAGUCUGGGGGCGGAGAGGCCGCCUGGGAGGCCCUUCCAGGCUUCCAGACAAGAGGGAGCAGUAAAGGCGGAAGGUGCGGAGGCCCCUGAUAGCCCUCAGUGCUGGGCUUUCUCCAUUUUCAUCUUAAUCUUUCCUGGUGCCUCUUCACAUCAACCCCGGCGGGCCAGCCCUCACCCCUCUGUUCCCUGAGCAAAAUGCUCGAUUCCUGUCGCUGUGCUUGUCCAUGAUACCUGCCUUCUUGAUCACCUCUCAGACUUGCCUCCCUUUCAAGGCACAGCUGAGACACCACCUCCAUGAUCAUCCCACGUGACAGUGAGCCCUCACUGCCUCUCCUCUCCUCGGUGGCACUCUGGAUGGCUGCACAAAUGGCCCCCAUGACUUGUUGAAGCACCCCUGAUAUUUUCACGUGAGGGUCUUCACCUUCUCUUUAAGUCAUACAGUGCUUAAGGAUAAUGACAUGGUCCUCACGCUGCUUGUUUCUUGCAUGGGUCCUGGCACUAUGCUGUAUGUACCAGGCACUCGGAAAAUAUUUGUUGGUUGGAUGAAUGGAGGGAAGGAAGGACAGAUUAACGUAAUCACAAACGCAUGAGCUCCUCGGCCAGAUUUUCAAGUGUCUCCACCAUCUGGGCUCACUCCAUUUCUCUCCUCUUCAUUCUACCACUCCCAACCACAAAAUCCCCAUUCUGGAUGGGUUGGUCUAUCCACAGACUCAUGAGCAUGCUGGGGUUUUCCUUCCCUUCGCCCAGCCAGCCCCUUCCCUAUUCUUGUCAUUGUUCAGGGCCCAAGUGAAGUCUCAUCUCCUCCAGCAGUUUCUGUGAUGUGUGUCGGCUGUCAGGUGAUGUGUGUUUCUCUGUUGGCUGUGGCCCGACCUCUUCAACUUGGAGGACUGGGCCUCUGCACCACCCAGAUGACUCCACUGUAGCACUGGGUCCUGGCUUUGUGCGGUUUGCCGUCAGUUCGUGUGUGUGACUCUAGCCUCCCCACCUAGAAUCUACGCUCCCAAGAGCUGGAUCUUCCCCAGUGCUUAGCAAAAGGAUCAGCAGGGAAGAGGUGCUUAGUUCAGUGUACAUUUGCUGGGUACCGGAUAUUCAGGGCCCCCUUACCUCUUUUGCCAUUUUAAAGUAAAUUCUCAUUGGAGA
Molecule: long non-coding RNA, 2826 nt
Organism: Ailuropoda melanoleuca (giant panda)
Lineage: Eukaryota; Metazoa; Chordata; Mammalia; Carnivora; Ursidae
Exons: 2
Source: RefSeq, a predicted model, not a curated record